Rosa chinensis is the source of this 292-nucleotide long non-coding RNA. RefSeq lists it as uncharacterized. The record is from RefSeq and is a predicted model, not a curated record. Lineage: Eukaryota; Viridiplantae; Streptophyta; Magnoliopsida; Rosales; Rosaceae. The transcript has 3 exons.
GAAAUAUCUUGGACGGCUGAAAAGAAUUGAACACUCCUUACAGGGGCAUGAACUGAAUUAAAUAUGUUUUGCUCCUUCACAUUCAAAACACGAACAUGUCUCCCACUGUAUAUUUAGUUCCUUGUGUGCGAACACUAUAAUUUCCAGGCAGGAACUUGCAAACCAGUCACAGUGUGAUGUAUUUCUUAAUGGGAGUUCUGUCACUGCUUUGGGAACUUCACUUACAGGAUUAAGGGUUUGAAACGGUAAAAAAAAAAGAAAACGGACGGUGGAGAAGAGAGAGAAUAAUGUU